Molecule: long non-coding RNA, 2222 nt
Organism: Anopheles gambiae (African malaria mosquito)
Lineage: Eukaryota; Metazoa; Arthropoda; Insecta; Diptera; Culicidae
Exons: 3
Source: RefSeq, a predicted model, not a curated record
CUUGCGCUGGAUUGCUUCGGCCACCCGGUUCAGCUUAUUCUCGUUGCGGGCAACCAGCACAAUGUUCAUGCGCCUACCGGCCAGAUAUUCAGCGUAACCCUUUCCGAUGCCAUCGGAGGCUCCGGUGAUCACUGCAAGCAAGAAAACGGUUUCGGGGGUAAAACGAGCUGCGCGAUGCCGUGCAGAACCAGCGAGGCGGGUGUGCGGAGAUUUUCGUACAACCAGCAGAUCGAGCAGUACGCUCCUAUGAGUGCCAAAAUUGCACAAACAAAUGGCCACAUUGUAAAGCAGACGCCCCCGGACGCUUGUGCUCCUGGAGAGUGCUGACGAAUAACUAAACAUUACCAGAUUCGGUGGCUUCCCUAACGCGCGGAAUCGAUACCCAACGACUAUUAUUAGAUAGAGAUCAUUCUAACUACCUGCGCGCGAGUAUCGUGUUUCACAUCACGCCGCCGGUGCACGCUGAUAGCAUAGCACAUCGAGCACACCGCGUCGACACGCGUGGGAAUUAAAUAUAAUUACACUACUACAACACUCCCGCCGGGCGGCGGGUGUUUGUGGUGCAGUCGCUGAGAUGCACUCACAGUGCGUUUGACCUGGCCGGGAUGCAGGAAAUGCAGUGCCGCUGCCACACGGUUCAGUUUGGUGAAGGACAUCGCGAUGGAUGAAUGGAGCACCCUGUACACGCGAUGCAAAUGAGCUUCUUGUUGAUCAGCCCAAACAUGUAAACGCGCACAACCUCCGGCACCAUGCUGAGGCCGGCCAGCUGCAGCCCGUGUGACCAGUGACCGCUGGUCAUGUCAACCUUGCCAAUCGUGCAGCCAGCGUACGCCAUAAAGUUGUCCACCCGGACCAUCAUAUUUUUGCUCCAUUUCUCCUUGCCCGUGACCAGGAAGUCGGUCAUGUUGGUGUGCACGAACGAGGGACGGACGGUUUGCACCUCCACCCCGAACGGUCGCAGCUCGUCGCGCAGCGCAAUCGAGAAGCUGGUCAUGUACGCUUUCGAGGCGGCGUACGUGGCCAUACAGGGCGAAGGGCAGACGGAGGCAAUCGAGGACACGUUUAUGAUGAGACCCCGCUGCCGCCGUUUCAUGGAGGGCGCAAGGAUGUUGCAGAGCAGCGUCGCAGCGGCCACAUUCACGUGGAUCAAGUCCCAAAGCGUCUGCUGCGGCACCUCGUCAACGUACAUCGGUGUGUCGUGCGAGACGCCAACGUUAUUGACUGUGCAAAACCAAACCCCAAUUAGAGUGUUACAGUGCGAAGGGGAGGGAAAGGAGGCGUGGAGCCGACACUUACCCAAAAUGCCAACAUCCAGCGGAACGAGUGCUUUCUCGAGCUGAGGAUAGAUCUCAGCGCCUUUGGAGAAAUCUGCCACCAGAACCUUGGUCUCCACACCGUGCUUGGCCUUUAUUUCGUCGGCUACCUUGUUUAGCUUGGCUGCAUUGCGCGCUACCAGCACGAUCGCCAUACCUUUCCCCGCGAGGUAGUGUGCGUAUCCCUUGCCAAUGCCGUCCGAUGCACCGGUGAUGACUAGAAUUGAGUCGAAGAUUGAGUCACUGGUUUGCAGCCAACGCAUAGAAAAGCGGUCGACACUCACCGGCCCAUUGGCCAUAUCGUUGAGAGAGCUUCUGUCGGAACACCAGCUGCCUGAGGGUCUGUAGCACCAGCAGCACCGGAGUGCGGAAGUUUUCGUACAACCAUACGGCAGCCACGUAAACCCCGAGACAGGCAGCUAACGAGCAGUACAUGUUGCCGGUUUCAAUAAUCGCAACUUACUACACUGCGCGAGCAAUUUAUCGGCUCAAUGUACUCUACUUUACGGCCGAGAAAGAGCGAAUGACGUUUGACCGGCAAGGCGCAGUGAAUGAAUGCGCAGCAGCAUAUCGUGAUAAACGACGUCUCGUAAUCAGAAUGACAUAAACGAAUAGUACGGGGCGAAAGGUGACCAAACAAAUGGUGCAUGUAGCAUCAGACAAGGCAGCAUUUCAAACAGAAAUAGCUUAACUUCACGUUUCGAAAUUCACACUGAUAACGAUUCACGAUGAGAGUGCUCAUUUCGUACGAUAAGAGUUCGAAGGGAGCGAGGGAGAGCGUGCAAUGGGAAACAACAGCUGCUAAUAUGUGCAGGGGUUGUCAAACUCAAUCGAAGUGGGAACUAUUUGCGUCGUUUUUUUUUUCGCUAAGAUAAUUAUGAUUAAAGAAAGGUAUUUAGUUUUACUCUG